GGCUCGUUGGUCUAGGGGUAUGAUUCUCGCUUCGGGUGUGAGAGCUCCCGGGUUCAAAUCCCGGACGAGCCC
This 72-nucleotide transfer RNA is filed under the name Danio rerio (zebrafish). Its description in RNAcentral is "tRNA-Pro (CGG) (tRNA-Pro-CGG-17-1)". It matches the Rfam family "tRNA". Rfam says of the family: Transfer RNA (tRNA) molecules are approximately 80 nucleotides in length. Their secondary structure includes four short double-helical elements and three loops (D, anti-codon, and T loops). Lineage: Eukaryota; Metazoa; Chordata; Actinopteri; Cypriniformes; Danionidae. The record is from Rfam by way of RNAcentral.